RNAcentral lists this ribosomal RNA (593 nucleotides) under uncultured bacterium. RNAcentral's name for it is "bacterial SSU rRNA". It matches the Rfam family "Bacterial small subunit ribosomal RNA", at positions 9 to 598 of the family's 1533-position model. The record is from RNAcentral.
GAGUUUGAUCCUGGCUCAGGAUGAACGCUGGCGGCGUGCUUAACACAUGCAAGUCGAACGAAGCACUCUUUUAGAUUUCCUUCGGGGAAGAAGAAAUUGUGACUGAGUGGCGGACGGGUGAGUAACGCGUGGGCAACCUGCCCCAUACAGGGGGAUAACAGCCGGAAACGGCUGCUAAAACCGCAUAAGCGCACAAGGGCCGCAUGGCCUGGUGUGAAAAACUCCGGUGGUAUGGGAUGGGCCCGCGUCUGAUUAGCUAGUUGGCGGGGGAGAGGCCCACCAAGGCGACGAUCAGUAGCCGACCUGAGAGGGUGGCCGGCCACAUUGGGACUGAGACACGGCCCAAACUCCUACGGGAGGCAGCAGUGGGGAAUAUUGCACAAUGGGGGAAACCCUGAUGCAGCGACGCCGCGUGAGCGAAGAAGUAUUUCGGUAUGUAAAGCUCUAUCAGCAGGGAAGAAAAAUGACGGUACCUGAGUAAGAAGCACCGGCUAAAUACGUGCCAGCAGCCGCGGUAAUACGUAUGGUGCAAGCGUUAUCCGGAUUUACUGGGUGUAAAGGGAGCGCAGGCGGUGCGGCAAGUCUGAUGUGAA